This 348-nucleotide unclassified non-coding RNA is filed under the name soil metagenome. Its description in RNAcentral is "partial contains 5.8S ribosomal RNA, internal transcribed spacer 2, and large subunit ribosomal RNA". The stretch from base 1 to 120 matches the Rfam family "5.8S ribosomal RNA", at positions 35 to 154 of the family's 154-position model. The record is from RNAcentral.
GAUGUAGAACGCAGCGAAAUGCGAUAAGUAAUGUGAAUUGCAGAAUUCAGUGAAUCAUCGAAUCUUUGAACGCACAUUGCGCCCGCCAGUAUUCUGGCGGGCAUGCCUGUCUGAGCGUCAUUUCAACCCUCAUGCCCCUAGGGCGUGGUGUUGGGGAUCGGCCAAAGCCCGCGAGGGACGGCCGGCCCCUAAAUCUAGUGGCGGACCCGUCGUGGCCUCCUCUGCGAAGUAGUGAUAUUCCGCAUCGGAGAGCGACGAGCCCCUGCCGUUAAACCCCCAACUUUCCAAGGUUGACCUCAGAUCAGGUAGGAAUACCCGCUGAACUUAAGCAUAUCAAUAAGCGGAGGA